CAGAGAACCAACAAAAAAGAUUUCCAGACUUUCCAGAAUUGUGUGCAAGUUAACCGAGCUGUUGAUGAUCAGAUGAAAGUCGUUUACCGUAAGGCAUAAGGCUGCAAUAAAUCAAAGNAAAAAUCUUCGCGUUAUCGACUGAAUUAUAUCAGGCGAAAACUGAGAAAACAAGAUGGACGCGAAUACAAAUAAUUACAAUAAGCCUACUUCUACAAUCAAUAACCACGAUUCGAGUCCAUACUCAACACAAAGCUGUAAUAAUAUUACAGAGGACAUUGGACAAGUAGCUUCACGGAAUCUGGCUCCACCGAUUGUACCCCCUGAUGGCAAUACUUCUUAUGCCUACCCAACACUCCCUGGCAUCCGUAAUGAAGCAACAGAGGGUAGUGCAGAUGAUGCAAUACCUUCACUAGAUCUUGGCCAACCGAUNUCACCCCCUGAUGGUAAUGCUUCUUCCGCUUACCCACCCCUCCCUGGCAUCUGCAAUAAAACAACAGAGAGUAGUAGACAGGCUGCAAUGACUUCACUGCCUCUUGGUCAACCAAUUGUACCCCCUGAUGGUAAUAAUCCUCCUGCCUACCCACUUCCCUACCCUGGUCAUUCUAACCCAAACCAACCAAUGAAUUUCCAGCAGCUUGCAAUAACCUCNCAGCCUCUUGGUCCCAUCAUGUCACCCACUGAUGGUAGUACCCACCCUGCCUACCCACCACCCUACCCUGGUAGUUCCUACCUUAACCAACCAACGAAUUCCAAGCAGCUUGCAAUAACGUCACAACCUCUUGGUUCGAAUUUACUGAUGCCACCUACUGACGGUGAAACUAUUACUGCCAAUCCACCUGGAGAUCUCUACCCGAAUUACCAGCAGAUGUCUUCNGACCAGUCUUUGAUCACGAAUAACAACGCAGAAGCCAAUGAGAUAGCAGCUUUUAUGAGUAGAGUCAGGUCCAAUACGAUNAAAAAGACUGAGGAUGACGCUGACAUGAGCUGUCUAGAGAAAUGCUUCUAUACCUCCAUANUAGUUUUACUUUUCAUUUCGAUCCCAGCAUGCUUCCCUUGUUGGCUGGGCAUGUUUUUAUGGCAUGUGUAUCAUAAUGAUGACGAGAAAGAUAAUUAAGAUUGUUCUAAUUNAUUAUUAUAUUCUUUGGUCUUGGAGCUCAUUAAGUCAUGGACAUCACGACAUAACGACAUAAGCAGACGCAGAAACAGAAGCGCAGAGAAAGAAGCUGGUUCAUGCCCAUGACAUAAGCACGACUUCAGUUGACACAAAUAUUUUUUUAACAUAAGAAGAUGCAAAAACAUAAAGAAAACGUUUCAUAAUUUUUUAUGCUUCUGCUUGUGUUUAUGUUUUUUGAGAUUCACAAGCAAAACAUUUCCCUUCCUCUGCCUCUGCUUGUGUUGUAGUGUGAACCGUCCCUCAAGACUAAAACUUUCUGAACGUAUUGAAUAUUAUCUAUUCUGUCAACAAAAUGCAGCUUUCUCGCUUGUUAUAUUUAAUUGCCCUAUGGCGUAAUGACGUCACAGUAUGUUUACAUUGUAGGUAGAUAUUCAGAAAGAGUCGAAAUUUGUAUCGAUUAACAUUCUUUCUUCCUAGCCUGAGUUCGUCCAGCGUUUAUAAACCGGAUGUACGCAGGCUAUAUUCUUUCCGAAAGUAGAGCUUUAGUGUAUCGAGUUUUGAUGAACAUCAUGUAUCAAUGAUAGUACAUCUACAUUUUAUUUGAUAUGCAGUCACUCUGAUCCCCUUUGGCGACCAUAAUCCUUAACGUUAAAACAAUAGAAUGUGUGACGUAAUUAUGCGAUAGGGCAAUUGCUGUGUCAUUCUGUAACCCUCUUGUGACUAUAAUCCUUACCUUCAAUCAUGCAAUGUUUUAAUCUGACGUCAUAAUGCAAUGGUCCAAUAAGUUUAGCUUAUUGUUUCCUACCUGUUGAAGUGCUCUAAAAUAUUAUUGAUAAAAGGCAAUAAAACUCGACAAAUUUGAGUCCUAAUAACUAUAAUAGAAUUUUAGAGGCAGAGCAUCUCAAGGAUAAAAGUUAGCUUUAAUCCACUGUUUUUAGUUUUUUCUUUUUAAAUAAUAUAUCCUGAGACAAUAUUUCUUACUAAAAUAAAGUUGAUUUGUAAUUAUUCUUGAUUACUCUGUAAAUAUGUUUAAGUAUAUAAUUAUUUUGAUUGGAUCUAACAAACUAUGUGUGUCAUAACCUAUCCAAGGUAUAUAUAACAAUGAAUAACCAUGCAAGUAAAUCUACAUACAUUGAUGUGGACAGCUACAUUCAGUUGGUUCACGACUAUUUUGGCUGUAGAAUUGAACAGAAUUUUGAAUCGUUUGAAAACAGAAGCAACUUUGUCAAAUUAAGUUGUCAAGGCACAAAGAAGACAAGAAUUGUUUCGACCUAGCUGCACUGACCUACUGGAAAAGACGCCGGACAAAUCCCCUCCGAAUAUAGCAAUCGAAUAUUAUNUUACAAGUCAAAAAAUUAAUCUAAUAAAUAGAAGAUGGAAAAUACAANUAAUCCUUCACCAGUUGAAAAUCAACCCACUUCAAGCAACGAUCCGAGUUCAAACUCAUCUCAAACCUGCAAUGACACAACAGCAGAAAGUGGACUAAUUGAAAUACCUUUAAAGGAUCUUGAUCCACCAACGGGACCCCCUGAUGGUAAUUCAAAUCGGGGUUACACAUCCGACCCUGGUAACUCCAAAGAGACAACAGAGGAGAGUCAACAGGUUGAAAUACCUAUAGAACCUCUUGAUUCACCUUCGGGGUCUGAUGGUAAAUCCUCUACGACGUCCUCACCCCAGCCUGAUAACUGCAAAGACACAACAGAGGAGAGUGGACAGGUUGAAAUACCUANAGAAACUCUUGAUUCAUCUACGGGGUCUGAUGNUAAAUCCUCUACGACGUCCUCANCCCAGCCUGAUAAAUGGAAAGACACAACAGAGGAGAGUGGACAGGUCGAAAUACCUUCAGAACCUCUUGAUUCACCGACGGGACACUCUGAUGGAAGUGCUUCCCCUGCUUACUCAACUCAUCCGGAUAACGAAGCCAUGAAUUCGGAGGAUGUUGUAAUAACUUUAAAACCAACGCAAAGCUAUGAUGACACAACUGAAAGAGAUGCGGAACAGGCUCUUGGUUCACCGACUUGGUUCAACGAAACUGAUGCUCCUACGACUUACAACACAUACCCUCCAUACCCCAUCCAUACUGGAUAUGUCAACGCCAUGGCGUACGAUGUUUUAAAAGAUUGGAAGGAACAAGAAGAAGAAAGAAACCGACAAAACAGAUGUAAAAGAUAUCUCAUCAUUGCUAUAGCCCUUAUUUUAUUCCCACUUUGUAUUCCAUUUUUACUGAUUCUUCUGCCUUUCAAAAUAUGUUGUGGGGAUGAUGAUUAAGCCNUAUUAUUGUAUUGCAGAAAAUUGCACUAAAUCUGCGCUAAAUCUGCACUAAAUCUGCACAAUCCCUUUAUUGGAGUGAUCGCACUUAAACCGUGCAAAUGUGCUAAAUCUAAGUAGUACUAAUUUGUUCUAAAAUUGGACCUGAACAAAAAAUGAUAUUGAAUGCUUCAUUUGUAUCAAUUCAAGUUAAUUUGCGUACCGCAUGUACGAUUUACUAAAUGCAAUUAAAUAGAAAUAUUUAGUUUGUGCAGUUGCAAGGUUUAGGUGCGAUCACUCUAAAAGAAAAAAAUCUACCUUAAUCACCAUUGGUCAUUACUUAGUGCUGCAGUUGAGGAAGCCACGAUAGUCUAAUUAAAGAUGUUUCUCUUUGAGGACCAAAAUCAGAAACGUCACUGAGCAAGCAUCACAGGCAUCCCAAGAUAGGUAUUUGUGUGGUUUUAAGCAAUUUUUUAAAAUAUACAAAUUUCAAAAAAAACAAAAAAAACAAAAAAAAACAUUUAUCUGUGUGUGGAUUUUCUUUAUAUUUCUGUAAAGUUUCAUGUCAUUUGCUUCAAUAUUGAAUGAUUUAUAGAUCAGUGUUAUUCAUAGGACGCUGGAGAUAAAUAUAUUUAUAUAUUUUGAAAAAAUUACUAUAAACCACACUAAUACCUAGAUUGAGAUACCUGUGCAAGAAUCAAUUCGUGGGUACAAAACAAGAUUAAUUGAGAUAUUGUCAAAAGUUUAAAAAGCUCAAAAACUUACUUAUAAACUCUUGCUAUGCUAAAAGUUCAUAUUCAAAUAAAACAAAAAAUGAAGAAUGCACU
This 4188-nucleotide unclassified non-coding RNA is filed under the name Exaiptasia diaphana. Its description in RNAcentral is "putative protein TPRXL, transcript variant X3". Lineage: Eukaryota; Metazoa; Cnidaria; Anthozoa; Actiniaria; Aiptasiidae. The record is from RNAcentral.